Oncorhynchus nerka (sockeye salmon) is the source of this 3087-nucleotide long non-coding RNA. RefSeq lists it as uncharacterized. The transcript has 2 exons. The record is from RefSeq and is a predicted model, not a curated record. Lineage: Eukaryota; Metazoa; Chordata; Actinopteri; Salmoniformes; Salmonidae.
CAUAGGGUAAUAUUAGGGUAACAAUACAGAAUGAAUACAUACACUGAGUAUACCAAACAUUAGGAACACCUGAGUUGCACCCAACACCAUUCUUCAUACACACGGGAAACUGUUGAGCGUGAAAACCCCAUUUAUCAGGUAUGAAGGUAAGACCCAGAUGCAGAACACAUCGAAUAAACAAUAGUUUAAUGAUCCAAUAGGGGCAGGCAAUAGACAGGUCAAGCCAGGCAGGGGUCAUAAAAUUAGAGGUCAGGCAAUGGUACCAGACGGCAGGCAGGCUCAGGGUAAGCAGAGGUCAAAAUCAAAGUCAAAGGUACAGGUCGGUAGGCGGGCGGGCUCGGAGUCAGGAGAAACAGAUCAGGGUGUGACACCAUUAGCAUUGCAGUUCUUGACACAAACCGGUGCACCUGGCACCUACUACCAUACCCUGUUCAAAGGCACUUCAAUCUUUUGUCUUGCACAUUCACCCUGUGAAUGGCACAUGUCGUGUCUUUGGCUAUGCCAGAUUAUGUGAUAUGACUUGCUAUUCUAUAAAAUAAUUUCUCUGUAAUUAAUAUCACCUGAUUGAUCUAAUCAUGAAAAUGUAAUUAACUAGAGAGUCGGGUACCACGAAAGAACAUUUAUAGAGCUGUUAUCUUCCGAAUAAACUCUUAAAGACCUAGUAAUAUUUUACAUCCAUAGCAGUCAACAUUAAUCUUCAUCUUACUUCUCAUCUGAAAGUUGUAAAUUCUUUUAUCUGCACGAACCCUGGCUAACAAUUUGAAUCAGCAAUACAAAUUGGGUUUAAUUAUUUAUUUACUAAAUACCUAACUAAUCACACAGAAUUCACAUACACACAAUUAAUCAUAACUUGAUUACAAAUUACGUCAUAAAAAAAGAAAACAGAAUUGACGGCUUGUUACACAAAGGAAAAGGGGCUGAGUUGAAUGAAAGAGCGGGAAGACAGGAACAAAGCGCGAAGCUGUGCUAUUGUAAAUAUAGUAUCUUAAGCAUUCUAAAUUACCGCCCAUUUGGAAAAGGAAAAUGCAAUAAAUAUUUACUCCGAGCUGCGCUUCAGUAUGUUGGUGGUCGAUGGAAGGCCAUGUUGCCAAACCGAGUCCUCUGUCCUUUGAAGAAGGUUAAUUGUCAAUUGGAUACGUUGUAGUAACGUUGUUGUGUGGUAGACGGGAUACUCUGUCUGUUCCUUCCUAACCUGCGUUUGCAGCUGCGGUCGCUAACUCAACAGCUAGGUGGUAUCACUUCUGUAGUGAAUAAGAGUUCAAAAUUCAUACCAUUCACAACCAAAGCUCAUGCUGAUGUUGGCUUCGUUCUGAACCAUUCUGACAUAGGACCAUCGCCCUCAUAUCCUUGGAACAGGAAGUUAUGUUGUCGUCAAGGGCUUAUAUAGGAAGGGAGAGGAGGGCGUGUUUGAAAAGUUUUAUAGCCCUUGUCCCUUCACAGGGGAGGGCCACUGAUUGAGCAGCCCUAUUUUAUGAAAAUCCAAAUCUCACAUUCUUGAAGCUAAAAUCACAUUUCAUCACAUCACAAAUAAUGUCAUAUUCAAAUAUUUAAAUUGAACAACAAUUCCAUGUGAAUCUGAUAAAUCUUAUGUGUAGACUUUCCACUGUAGAGUUUAUGUCAUCUUAUCAUUGAUGAGAAUGUCUCAGAUGACAACCGAACUGACAUCAUAUUCAUUAAGUACCACCGCGUAUGUUCAAUUGUUCAGAUUACCAGAAUAUAGUUUGUUUCCCCCCACAUUCGGAUGUUCCCAGAAUCUCUAUGUUAACAAAGGGUUUUGCAAAAUGUAACCUUAGUAGGGUGGAGAGAGGAAAAAGGGGGGAAGAGGUAUUGAUGACUUUCAUAAACCAACCCCCCCAGACACACACAACCCAUGUCUCAAUUGUCUCAAGGCUUAAAAAUCCUCCUUUAACCCGUCUCCUCCCCUUCAUCUACACUGACUGAAGUGGAUUUAAAUGACAUCAAUAACGGAUCAUAGACUGAUGAUGAAAGCUAUGUCAGGGAAAGAGCAUUUGAUCUUAAUAUUUUGUAUACUCAGCGUCUUCUGAAAUAAGUUUAUGCUGAGUUUAUAUAUACAGUUUUGAUACUGUAUUCACUCACCUGCAUAAAACAUUUUUCAGUAUAUACCCCUAUGGGCGAACAACAUCACACAACGUUUAAUGUACAUUUGAUAUUGUAUUGUUGUCAACAAACGCGAAUUGAUUAUGCAUCCAACAACAACAACCAUUGUAUCAACUGUGAGACUUAGUUGACAUCUGACAAUACCUUGCAUGACUAAACUGUGUGCAGUCUCUAAUUUGCCCCCAACCUGUCUGAUUGUGUGCAUGUGUAUUGUGUUUUUUUCAGGCCAGACCCCAUGGCUCCAUUCGCUGCAGGAGGAGCCAUUCUGGAUCUCUUUGGGCCAGACCCAGAUCACGUGCCGCCGCCAGGCUAUGAUGACAUGUUCAUGUAGAAGAGAAGGCCUUUCCUGCUUCACUUCACACACUUCCUGGACCACUUCCUGUAUGCGCAAUGCAUGAAGAAUACACACUUAAUAAAACUGACGGACUCAUUUGUUCAGCGUGAGGACUAAAGUUACAUUGCACUCCCUUUUUGGGGGACGUACCUGUAGGUAAUGUAAUUGUACAGAAUUUGGGAGUUCCUAGAGUACAAAUCUGUUCAAGCAGAGAACAUUUGUUUUGAUUUUCAAAUGCUGGCUUUUGCCACUCACCUCCCCAAAAAUGUAAUGUGAAAAUAACUGUCAAUUAUUUUUUUACGGACAAAGUUGUUCAUAUACACACCUGCAGCAACAGAAGUGAAUUAUUGAUUGAUAAAAACAUUAGGGAUUUUGUAUUCUCUAGGAGUUUUGUAUUGUCUAGGGGUUCUGUAUUCUCUAGGAUAUUUGUAUGUCUAUGGUGACCUGAUUAUGGUUCCCAAUCAGAGGCAGCUGUUUAUCAUUGUCUCUGAUUGGGGAUAGUAUUUAGGUUGCCAUUUUCCUUUUUGGUUUUGUGGGUUCUUGUUCUAUGUUUAGUUGCCUGUCUAUAUUAGCUUCACGUAUCGUUUUGUUACUUUGUUCAGUGUUUCGUUCUUUAUUAAAGAAGAAUGUACGCA